GGGCCCGUAGCUUAGCCUGGCUCGAGCGAUGGUCUUAUAUACCAUUGGUCAGGGGUUCAAAUCCCUUCGGGCCCA
This 75-nucleotide transfer RNA is filed under the name Candidatus Woesearchaeota archaeon. Its description in RNAcentral is "tRNA-Ile". It matches the Rfam family "tRNA". From Rfam's summary of the family: Transfer RNA (tRNA) molecules are approximately 80 nucleotides in length. Their secondary structure includes four short double-helical elements and three loops (D, anti-codon, and T loops). The record is from RNAcentral. Lineage: Archaea; Nanobdellati; Candidatus Woesearchaeota.